GGGGGAAAAAUUAAUAAAAUUAUAAAUAAUAAAAUAAAUUUUAAAAUUAAAAAUAAAUAAUGGGGGUUAAAGUAUUUUUAAUGGAAAAAAUUUAAAAAUUUAUAAGGAAUUAGUAUUGUAUAAGAAUUUUGAAAAAUUGAAAAAUAAUUAAUAAUAAAGAAAAUUUAAUUUGUUGUAUCUUGUGUAUCAGAGUUUAUUAAAUAAAUUUUUUAUAAAAAAAAAUUUCGAAUUUAAAAGAGUUAAUUAAUUAAAAAAGUUAAUGUAGUAUAAUUAUUUUCAAUAAUUAAUUUGAAAUGAAAUGUUAAUCGUUUUUAAAUAUAUCUAGUUAUUUUAGAAAAAAAUUUAAUUUUGAACUUAAAUAAUUUUAUAAUUUAAUAAUAAAAAUUAUAAAAAUUUAAAUUUAAUAUGUUAGGGGAUAAGCUUUAAAUUAAAAAUUUAUAAUAAAAUUAAAUAUAUUAAUUAAAAUUUUUAAAAUUUAUAUUGUUUAUAAAUUAUAAUUUAUUAUAAAAAAAUUUUAAAAAAAAAUAAAAUUUAAUAAAUAAAAAUUUAAAUUUUUAUAAAAUAAUAAUUUUAGAAUAAUAAAAAAAUAGAAAUAAUGAUAAAAUUAAUAUAAUGAAAAAUAAAUAAUAUAAAUAUUUAUUUAAAAUUAGGUUAAAGGAAUUCGGCAAAAAUUUAUAUUCACAUGUUUAUCAAAAACAUGUCUUUUUGAAAAUAAUUUAAAGUCUAAUCUGCCCACUGAUGAAAAUUAAAGGGCUGCAGUAUUUUGACUGUACAAAGGUAGCAUAAUCAUUAGUUUUUUAAUUGGAAACUUGUAUGAAAGAUUUAAUGAAAUAUAUACUGUCUCAAAUUUAUUAUUAAAACUUUAUUUUUUUAGUUAAAAAGCUAAAAUAUUUUUAAAAGACGAGAAAGACCCUAUAGAGUUUUAUAUUUAUUUUUAUUAAAAAAUUAUAUAAAAAUUAAUAUUUAAAAUAAAGUAAAAUAUUAUAUUGGGGUGAUAGAAAAAUUAAAUUAACUUUUUGUGAUAAUUAAUAUUAAUAAAUAAGUAAAUGAUCCAUAAAUAAUGAUUAAAAGAAAAAAUUACCUUAGGGAUAACAGCGUAAUUUUUUUUUUUAGUACAGAUAAAAAAAAAAGUUUGCGACCUCGAUGUUGGAUUAAGAUAAAAUUUAAAUGCAAAAGUUUAAAAUUUUGAUCUGUUCGAUCAUUAAAAUCUUACAUGAUCUGAGUUCAAACCGGUGUAAGCCAGGUUGGUUUCUAUCUUUAAAAUUAAAAAAUAUUUUAGUACGAAAGGAUCAAAUAUUUAAAAUAAUUUUAUUUAUAAGAAUAUUAUUAAAUUUAUAGUGUAAAAAUUAAUAAAUUUAAC
Molecule: ribosomal RNA, 1360 nt
Filed under: Ypthima baldus (common five-ring)
Lineage: Eukaryota; Metazoa; Arthropoda; Insecta; Lepidoptera; Nymphalidae
Description: 16S ribosomal RNA
Source: RNAcentral